CAGACACGUGGGUAACCUACCUAUAAGACUGGGAUAACUUCGGGAAACCGGAGCUAAUACCGGAUAAAAUUGUGCAACCUCAUGGUGAAACAGUGAAAGACGGUUUCGGCUGUCACUUAUAGAUGGACCCGCGGCGCAUUAGCUAGUUGGUGAGGGGCAUACGGCUCACCAAGGCGACGAUGCGUAGCCGACCUGAGAGGGUGAUCGGCCACACUGGGACUGAGCGGCCCAGACUCCUACGGGAGGCAGCAGUAGGGAAUCUUCCGCAAUGGACGAAAGUCUGACGGAGCGUGAGUGAAGAAGGUUUUCGGAUCGUAAAACUCUGUUGUAAGGGAAGAACAAGUACGUUAGUAACUGAACGUACCUUGACGGUACCUUACCAGAAAGCCACGGCUAACUACGUGCGCAGCCGCGGUAAUACGUAGGUGGCAAGCGUUAUCCGGAAUUAUUGGGCGUAAAGCGCGCGUAGGCGGUCUCUUAAGUCUGAUGUGAAAGCCGGUACCCCGGCUCAACCGGGGAGGGUCAUUGGAAACUGGGAGACUUGAGUGCAGAAGAGGAGAGUGGAAUUCCAUGUGUAGCGGUGAAAUGCGCAGAGAUAUGGAGGAACACCAGUGGCGAAGGCGGCUCUCUGGUCUGUAACUGACGCUGAGGUGCGAAAGCGUGGGGAUCAAACAGGAUUAGAUACCCGUAGUCCACGCCGUAAACAGUGCUCCGUGAGUCGUGUUGGGGGGUUUCCGCCCCUCAGUGCUGCAGCUAACGCAUUAAGCACUCCGCCUGGGGAGUACGGUCGCAAGACUGAAACUCAAAGGAAUUGACGGGGACCCGCACAAGCGGUGGAGCAUGUGGUUUAAUUCGCAACGCGAAGAACCUUACCAAAUCUUGACAUCCUCUGACAACUCUGGAGACAGACCCUUCGGGGGAGGUACCAGAGUGACAGGUGGUGCAUGGUUGUCGUCAGCUCGUGUCGUGAGAUGUUGGGUUAAGUCCCGCAA
Molecule: ribosomal RNA, 992 nt
Filed under: Micrococcus sp. CECRI-2
Lineage: Bacteria; Bacillati; Actinomycetota; Actinomycetes; Micrococcales; Micrococcaceae
Description: bacterial SSU rRNA
Rfam family: Bacterial small subunit ribosomal RNA
Source: RNAcentral